This 236-nucleotide ribosomal RNA is filed under the name Aulacoseira subarctica. RNAcentral's name for it is "partial Bacterial small subunit ribosomal RNA". It matches the Rfam family "Bacterial small subunit ribosomal RNA", at positions 1020 to 1249 of the family's 1533-position model. Lineage: Eukaryota; Bacillariophyta; Melosirophyceae; Melosirales; Aulacoseiraceae. The record is from RNAcentral.
AUUAAAUUCUUUGUACAGGUGUUGCACGACUGUCGUCAGUUCGUGUCGUAAGAUGUUUGGUUAAUUCCUUUAACGAACGUAACUCUUGUCUUUAAAAUAUACUUAAAAUAAGAAUUUUUUAUAGUUUUAAAGAUACUGCCACCUAUAAGUUGGAGGAAGGUGAGAAUUAUGUCAAGUCACUGUGGCCCUAAUAAGCUGGGCUACACAUGUGCUACAUUGAAAAUUACAAAAAGUAA